RNAcentral lists this ribosomal RNA (427 nucleotides) under uncultured bacterium. RNAcentral's name for it is "bacterial SSU rRNA". It matches the Rfam family "Bacterial small subunit ribosomal RNA", at positions 355 to 774 of the family's 1533-position model. RNAcentral also lists the same sequence under 1 other name. The record is from RNAcentral.
UGGGGAAUUUUGGACAAUGGGCGAAAGCCUGAUCCAGCCAUGCCGCGUGAGUGAAGAAGGCCUUCGGGUUGUAAAGCUCUUUUAGUCGGAAAGAAAGAGUUGCAAUGAAUAAUUGUGAUUUAUGACGGUACCGACAGAAAAAGCACCGGCUAACUACGUGCCAGCAGCCGCGGUAAUACGUAGGGUGCGAGCGUUAAUCGGAAUUACUGGGCGUAAAGGGUGCGCAGGCGGUCUUGCAAGUCAGAUGUGAAAGCCCCGGGCUUAACUUGGGAAUUGCGUUUGAAACUACAAGGCUAGAGUGCAGCAGAGGGGAGUGGAAUUCCAUGUGUAGCAGUGAAAUGCGUAGAGAUGUGGAAGAACACCGAUGGCGAAGGCAGCUCCCUGGGUUGACACUGACGCUCAUGCACGAAAGCGUGGGGAGCAAACA